GAUGAACGCUGGCGGCGUGCCUAACACAUGCAAGUCGAGCGAACAGACGAGGAUCUUGCUCCUCGCACGUUAGCGGCGGACGGGUGAGUAACACGUGUAUACCCUACCUAUAAGUCUGAUAUAACUUCGGGACACCGGAGCUAAUACCGGAUAAUAUAUUGAACCGCAUGGUUCGAUGGUAAGAGACGGUUGUGCUGUCACUUCUAGAUGGAUACGCGCCGCAUGAGCUAGUUGGUAAGGUAACGGCUUAUCAAGGCUAGGAUGCGUAACCGACGGGAGGGGGGGAUCGCCCACACGGGAACUGAGCCACGCUCCAGGCUCCUACGGGAGGCACCAGUAGGGAAUCGUCCGCAGUGGGCGAAAGCAUGACGGAGCAGCGCCGCGUGAGUGAUGAAGGUCUUCGGUUCGUAAAGCCCUGUUAUUAGGGAUGAACAACUGUGUAAGGAACUAUGCCCGUCGUGACGGUAACGAAUCAGAAAGCCACGGCUAACUACGUG
Molecule: ribosomal RNA, 497 nt
Filed under: uncultured bacterium
Lineage: Bacteria
Description: partial 16S ribosomal RNA
Rfam family: Bacterial small subunit ribosomal RNA
Source: RNAcentral